GUAGGGAAUAUUGGACAAUGGGGGGAACCCUGAUCCAGCCAUGCCGCGUGGAGGAAGACUGCCCUCUGGGUUGUAAACUCCUUUUAUAUGGGAAGAACCGUCCUCAUUAAUGAGUGACCUGACGGUACCAUAGGAAUAAGCACCGGCUAACUCCGUGCCAGCAGCCGCGGUAAUACGGAGGGUGCAAGCGUUAUCCGGAUUCACUGGGUUUAAAGGGUGCGUAGGCGGAUAAAUAAGUCAGUGGUGAAAUCAACGGGCUCAACCUGUUAACUGCCAUUGAUACUGUGUAUCUUGAAUAGGAGAGAGGUAGGCGGAAUGUUGCAGGUAGCGGUGAAAUGCUUAGAUAUGCUACGGAACACCGAUUGCGAAGGCAGCUUACUAUUUCGUAAUUGACGCUGAGGCACGAAAGCGUGGGUAGCGAACAGGAUUAGAUACCCGAGUAGUCC
This 446-nucleotide ribosomal RNA is filed under the name uncultured bacterium. Its description in RNAcentral is "partial 16S ribosomal RNA". It matches the Rfam family "Bacterial small subunit ribosomal RNA", at positions 354 to 796 of the family's 1533-position model. The record is from RNAcentral.